Molecule: ribosomal RNA, 253 nt
Filed under: uncultured bacterium
Lineage: Bacteria
Description: partial 16S ribosomal RNA
Rfam family: Bacterial small subunit ribosomal RNA
Source: RNAcentral
UACGUAGGGUGCAGGCGUUAAUCGGAAUUACUGGGCGUAAAGCGUGCGCAGGCGGUUUGCUAAGACAGGUGUGAAAUCCCCGGGCUUAACCUGGAAACUGCGCUUGUAACUGGCAAGCUAGAGUGUGGCAGAGGGGGGUGGAAUUCCAGGUGUAGCAGUGAAAUGCGUAGAGAUCUGGAGGAACACCGAUGGCGAAGGCAGCCCCCUGGGCUAACACUGACGCUCAUGCACGAAAGCGUGGGGAGCAAACAGG